This 484-nucleotide ribosomal RNA is filed under the name uncultured bacterium. RNAcentral's name for it is "partial 16S ribosomal RNA". It matches the Rfam family "Bacterial small subunit ribosomal RNA", at positions 30 to 507 of the family's 1533-position model. The record is from RNAcentral.
AUUGAACGCUGGCGGCAGGCCUAACACAUGCAAGUCGAGCGGCUGAACUGUUCUUGCUCCUUGUUUCAGCUGCCGACUGGUGUUUUAUUCCUAUGUAUCUGCCUGUUUGUUUUUUAUUACGUCCUGACACGGGCUCUCAUACCGCAUACGUCCUUACGGCGUAAGUUUUGUAUCUUCGGACCUUCCGCUCUUUUUUGAUUCUAUGUCGGAUUAGCUAGUUGGUUGGGUAAAGGCCUACCAAGGCGACGAUCCGUAACUGGUCUGAGAGUAUGAUCAGUAAAACUGGAACUGAGACACGGACAAGACUACUAAGGGAGGCAGAAGUGGGGAAUAUUGGACAAUGGGCGAAAGCAUGAUCAAGCAAUGCCGCGUGUGUGAAGAAGGACUUCGGAUUGUAAAGAACUUUAAGUGGGGAGGAAGGGCAGUAAGUUAAUAACUAGAUGUUUUGACGUUACCAAAAGAAUAAGCACCGGCUAACUUAGUG